UGGGGAAUCUUGGACAAUGGGGGCAACCCUGAUCCAGCGACGCCGCGUGGGUGGUAAGGCCUUCGGGUUGUAAAGCUCUUUCAGUCGUGACGAUGAUGACGGUAGCGACAGAAGAUGCCCCGGCUAACUCCGUGCCAGCAGCCGCGGUAAUACGGAGGGGGCAAGCGUUGUUCGGAUUUACUGGGCGUAAAGGGCGCGUAGGCGGGGUAUCCAGUUAGGGGUGAAAGCCCGGGGCUCAACCUCGGAACUGCCUUUAAAACUGAUGCUCUAGAGUCCGGAAGAGGGUCGCGGAAUUCCCAGUGUAGAGGUGAAAUUCGUAGAUAUUGGGAAGAACACCGGUGGCGAAGGCGGCGACCUGGUCCGGUACUGACGCUGAGGCGCGAAAGCGUGGGGAGCAAACAGGAUUAGAUACCCGCGUAGUCC
Molecule: ribosomal RNA, 423 nt
Filed under: uncultured prokaryote
Description: bacterial SSU rRNA
Rfam family: Bacterial small subunit ribosomal RNA
Source: RNAcentral